CGAAUAAACAUGUUGAAGGAUGACCAAGUUCCAGCUUUCUGCUGAAGCAUUAACCACGGUAACCCAGGACGCUACAACUGUUCUAGUUGAAUGAGCCCAUAAUCCUUCAGGUACUGUAAUCUGUAGACAUAUGAAAUAGCCAUUAUAAUCCAUCUUCUCAAAGUCAGUGCGAUGCCUCUUUACCUUUAUGGUGUCUAAUUGGUAAAGCAAACAAUCUAGAACAUUUAUGAAAAGAUUAAGUUAGUCAAUAUAGCAUGGACCACAUCCAAGUUGUGCCAAACCUCUUCAUUUGGUGAGGAGUUAAAGUUAUGUCCUGAGUCAGAUGAAAUUUGGAAACCACUUUCGAUACAAACAAGGUGUAAAAAUAUUUGCCAUAUACAUUAUG
Molecule: non-coding RNA, 385 nt
Organism: Pelobates cultripes (western spadefoot toad)
Lineage: Eukaryota; Metazoa; Chordata; Amphibia; Anura; Pelobatidae
Source: the annotation of a GenBank genome assembly